Molecule: ribosomal RNA, 691 nt
Filed under: uncultured bacterium
Lineage: Bacteria
Description: bacterial SSU rRNA
Rfam family: Bacterial small subunit ribosomal RNA
Source: RNAcentral
AGCGGCGGACGGGUGAGUAACGCGUAGGCAACCUGCCCCAUACAGAGGGAUAGCCUCGGGAAACCGGGAUUAAAACCUCAUAACGCAGAGAGUUCACAUGGACUAUCUGCCAAAGAUUCAUCGGUAUGGGAUGGGCCUGCGUCUGAUUAGCUAGUUGGUGAGGUAACGGCUCACCAAGGCGACGAUCAGUAGCCGACCUGAGAGGGUAAUCGGCCACAUUGGAACUGAGACACGGUCCAAACUCCUACGGGAGGCAGCAGUGGGGAAUAUUGCACAAUGGGCGAAAGCCUGAUGCAGCAACGCCGCGUGAGCGAUGAAGGCCUUUGGGUCGUAAAGCUCUGUCCUUGGGGAAGAAACAAAUGACGGUACCCUUGGAGGAAGCCCCGGCUAACUACGUGCCAGCAGCCGCGGUAAUACGUAGGGGGCGAGCGUUAUCCGGAAUUAUUGGGCGUAAAGAGUGCGUAGGUGGCCAUGUAAGCGCGGGGUGAAAGGCAAUAGCUUAACUAUUGUAAGCCUUGCGAACUGUGUGGCUUGAGUGCAGGAGAGGAAAGUGGAAUUCCUAGUGUAGCGGUGAAAUGCGUAGAUAUUAGGAGGAACACCAGUGGCGAAGGCGACUUUCUGGACUGUAACUGACACUGAGGCACGAAAGCGUGGGGAGCAAACAGGAUUAGAUACCCUGGUAGUCCACGCC